CUUCCUCCAGCGCCCCGGAAGCCGGAACGACCUGUUUUCCGCCUGCUGAGGAAGGAAUUGCCACCGAGAUCGGAGACGGUAGGGGAUGUUGUUUACACGGCGUAAAGUGAGGCCGAGUUCCGGCCACCCAGCGGGGUGUAUGAGCUCUUUUAAAGGAGAACACUGUGGUUUUCAUGUUCUGAGCAUUCUGAGAUUGUGAAGGCAUAAUUCCUUUGAUUUGCUUACAGCCAAGUGGAGUUGCACAGGUCAUGGUGGCAGUAUAGCCACUUAAGUAUUCUAAAGGAGAUUUAUCAGCAGGUUGCAGGUGAACAUGGCGUUGAGACUUGCUUUUGCUUCUUGUAGAAGAUGAGAAACAUGUUUAAACAAAGGUUCUUUAUGCUGAAUAAAUAGGUUGCUUGAAGUUGGUUAUCUGCCUUAUUUAAAUUAAGUGAAUUUUGGCGUUCCCAUCAUGGCUCAGCAGAAACCAAUCUGACUAGCAUCCAUGAGGAUGCAGGUUCAGUCCCUGGCCUCAGUACGUUAAGGAUCCGGCAUUGCCAUGAGCUGUGGUGUAGGUCACAGACUCAGCUCGGAAUGGCGUGGCUGUGGCUGUGGCGUAGGCCAGUGGCCACAGCUCUGAUUGGACCCCUAGCCUGGGAACCUCUGUAUGCCGCGGGUGCGGCCCUAAAAAGACAUAAAUAAAUAAAGUAGAUUUUAAAUGUCAAAGCUAAUCCUAGACUGUUUUUCCUUCAUCAAAUAAUAUCUUAUUAAAAUCUUACAGAUGCCUAGUUUUUAUCCAUUUUAUUUAUCCAUGUUAUAUUACAUGUGAAGUAAAGCCUAUUAGAACCCUGAAUUCAUUCACCUUGCCUUGCCUUAUCUGUGAUGUCCUACUUCCUACUUGGUAGUUUUCUUUUUAAGUAGCUGAGAACAUUUUAAAAUAUAUACAUACAUAUAUUUUAAUCGUUUGUAAUUUGAACCAUCUCUGUGUUACAUUGGUUGUACCUUCCUUAUUUCAGGGUAGUGAUCCAUGUUGGGAGGGCAGAGGGGUGUAUGUGUGUGCAAUGAGCUUCAAGACUGUCAGGUUGAGUUGUGAAUUCAAGACUCUGAACUUCUGUGUAUACCAGCAGGCUGUUUUGGGUAGGAGAUAAGGUGUUUGUUGUGUCAGACUCGAAUGUACUAGGAAACUGAAAGGUUUCGAGUGAAGUUUCUCUGAUAACACAGAAUCUCAAGUGAUGAGAUCAGGGGCACAUAUGUUUAGAGACACAUCCGUGGGGCAUGACACUAAAUUAUCUGAGAAUUGCUUCAUAAUUGGAGUCACUUCCUCUGCAUCUUGACCCAUAAGCUUGAAAAUGCUGUGUGUGCAGAACUGUAAGUGGCAACCGGAAACUUGAACCCAGUACCAGAAAGGUAGCUGUUGGGCUGGGCAGUGAGGUCACAAAUUGGCACAAGAGGAGUGAGGCAGGAUGCCCAAAAGCCAUGGGCUGGAGACCACCUCUCCCGCCAGGACUCAGCUCUGCACUUGGUGGGCUGAUGUUUUCUCUUAAAAGAUUGUUAUGCAUUUGCUAUAUGUCACGCAGUCUCGUGUUUGUCAUUAAAUUUCCCAUCCUGUUAAGACAAGUAUUUUUCUAUUGUUUAAAGGGAACCAGAAGCCAAGGGAGAUAAUGUGAUUUUUCUAGGGUCAUAAGGCAAAGUAGCUGCAAAGUAGCAAACUCAAGUCUUCUGAUUGCAAAUCUGGUUCUCUGUACAUUAUAAAACAGUACCUAGAAUCAGUCGAAACUAAUGUUUUCUAUUUUUUUCCAGACCUAUCCCUCCACCCCCUGCCCCAACACACACAUAAUGAAAGCAGCACUCAUUUAUUAUUAUUUAUGUAUGAGCUGCUGUGUGACACUAGGAAGCAUGUAGUGCGUAGUGUUGCAGUUUUUUUCCCAAUCUUGCCAUCAAGCCACAGGUGCCCGUCUCUUCCUUUAUACUCCCUCCU
Molecule: long non-coding RNA, 1954 nt
Organism: Sus scrofa (pig)
Lineage: Eukaryota; Metazoa; Chordata; Mammalia; Artiodactyla; Suidae
Source: RefSeq, a predicted model, not a curated record